Molecule: long non-coding RNA, 383 nt
Filed under: Manihot esculenta (cassava)
Lineage: Eukaryota; Viridiplantae; Streptophyta; Magnoliopsida; Malpighiales; Euphorbiaceae
Description: long non-coding RNA (MESC_LNC005929)
Source: RNAcentral
AGUGAUUCACCCUCUCUCUGCCUUACUGUCUCCAAGUAGCUCGUCUUCCUCUCCGCUGGCACUCCGGCUAUGAAUCGACUGAUGAAGCGAAUGGCUAGGUCUCCGAAACUCCUGAUACUUCCGGCCUCAAGGCUGUUGAACCACGCCCGCGCUGGUCCCGAGAGCGUCGUUGGGAAUACUUUACACAUUAAGGCAUCAGAUAGAGUUUGCAACUCCAUGAAGGUCUUAUAGUUCAUGACGUGCUCCCUCGGGUUACCAGUUCCAUCAUAAGCCGCCAUUGAUGGCAUCAUAAACUUCUUAGGGACAGUCUCUUGCUGCACCCACUUGGAGAAAGGGGAAGAAGUAGGCAAAGAGGUUUGGCUUUGGUCUUUCUUACCUAACUC